AUGUUCGGUGGGUUUUCACUCUCUGGUGUUUUGUAAUAAAGAAAUCCUUCUUUUUGGGGGGGAAGCCAAUUAAUGAAGUAGACUUGAAUGGUUUUAGAAAUACAGGGAUGUCUGUUUCUUUGUGCUUCUGCCUCAUUUCUUUACUUGUGCCUAGUGUGAAUGACCGGACCCCUCCUCCACCUCUUGACCCCCUUCCUUUGAGAGGGUUCUCAGCCUAUUGGGGCAGAGAGAGGGACCCUACUGUGUCUGGUACCUCUCUGGGACCACUUGGAUUGGCUCAACUGGUAACCUAGCAACCUAGCCCUCCUCCCUCUCCCGGUGGCCUGGCCCUGUUAGUCCUUUUCUUCCAGCUCGGUUCAUUUUAUCCCCCUGAGGCUGGGGCCAGGCUAGGGGAAAAUCACCAAGGGAUCAUAGUAAAUGGUCUUAAACAAGUGAUAAUUUGCUCUUGUGCCUUCGUGUUGCUAAAGAAGACCGGUGCUUCCAAUAAUUCAAAAAGCCUUAAGAAUACAUUCUAGUAAUUGCUUGCUGUCUUAGGCAGUGGGUUCUGGAAAUAGUAUCGAAGGCUAAAACUGAGACUAUCAUUAGUUUUAAAGGAAGCAAACCCAACUCACAAAGAAGGGAGGAGUCAUUGUGUUUUUCAUGUUUGGGAUAAAUAUGAAAGAGGAAUUGGAAGUAGAAAUCUGCUUCUGUAAACAAUCAAAUGCCCUGUAGGACAUCAGUGUAGGUAGAAAAAUGUAGCAUGAUUAUCCGGGUCAAAUUAUUAUCCAAAUAAACUCAAAACGAGUCCCUGUUGUGGUGCAGUGGAAGCAAAUCUGACCAGUAUCCAUGAGGUUGUGGGUUCCAUCCCUGGCCUCGAUCAGUGGGUAGGGGAUCUCAGCCAUGUCUGCAACCUACACCACAGCUCAUGGCAAUGCCUGAUCCUUUAACUCACCGAGUGAGGCCAGGGAUCGAACCCGAAUCCUCCGGGAUACUAGUUGGAUUCUUAACCUGCUGAGCCACAGUGGGAACUCCCCAUUCAUGGAUUUUUAAGUUACCAAUACGAUGUACCUGUCUUAGUCGUCCUUUGUAGUUGUUGCAUUCACAAUGAAUCUGCAUAUACAAGUGGAAGCAUCUGAUUGUUAGAUCUUUUAGUAUGAUCUUGCACAGGCAUUACGUACUGGAAUAUAUAUUAUCUUGUUUUGGUUUGGGGGGUUUUUGGCCAUGCCUGCAGCAUAUAGAUGUUUCCAGGCCAGGGAUCAAACCUGUGCCACAGCGGCAACAAUGCCAGAUCCUUAACCUGCUCAGCCACCAAGGAACUCCUGAAAUAUAUAUUAUCUUAGAAACUCAUUUUUAUUUUUCCUUUCUACUAUAGUUAGUGUAUUAUAUUGCUAUUCUGGAAAUUAUAUCUAUAUUAACUAUGAAAUUCAUUUCAAGGUAGCAAAGGGUACAUUACAAGGUAUUGUAUACACUAAGAGAGGGGUGGGGCUGAUAGGGUUGAGAAUUGUUGGACUAGAUUAUCUCAAAGGUUCCUUUCUACCCUCUAAAUAUUUAGAAAACUCAGAAAAUCAACAAACAUCCCCCCAUUCCCCUACACUGUUAAUGUGCUGUUUAAAUUUUGAAAGUAGGAGUUCCUGUCGUGGCGCAGUAGCAGAAACAAAUCCGACUAGGAACCAUGAGGUUGCAGGUUCCAUCUCCAGCCUAGCUCAGCGGGUUAAGGAUCCAGUGUUGCUGUGAGCUGUCGUGUACGUUGCAGACGUGGCUUGGAUCUUGUGUUGCUGUAGGUCUGGGGUAGGCUGGCAGCAACAGCUCUGAUUAGACUCCUAGUCUGGGAAUCUCCAUAUUCCAUGGGUGCGGCCCUAAAA
This 1841-nucleotide long non-coding RNA is filed under the name Sus scrofa (pig). RNAcentral describes it as "lncRNA (ENSSSCG00025069108.1)". The record is from RNAcentral. Lineage: Eukaryota; Metazoa; Chordata; Mammalia; Artiodactyla; Suidae.